This 712-nucleotide ribosomal RNA is filed under the name uncultured Streptococcus sp. RNAcentral's name for it is "bacterial SSU rRNA". It matches the Rfam family "Bacterial small subunit ribosomal RNA", at positions 67 to 765 of the family's 1533-position model. Lineage: Bacteria; Bacillati; Bacillota; Bacilli; Lactobacillales; Streptococcaceae. The record is from RNAcentral.
UGAAGACUUUAGCUUGCUAAAGUUGGAAGAGUUGCGAACGGGUGAGUAACGCGUAGGUAACCUGCCUACUAGCGGGGGAUAACUAUUGGAAACGAUAGCUAAUACCGCAUAACAGCAUUUAACCCAUGUUAGAUGCUUGAAAGGAGCAAUUGCUUCACUAGUAGAUGGACCUGCGUUGUAUUAGCUAGUUGGUGAGGUAAUGGCUCACCAAGGCGACGAUACAUAGCCGACCUGAGAGGGUGAUCGGCCACACUGGGACUGAGACACGGCCCAGACUCCUACGGGAGGCAGCAGUAGGGAAUCUUCGGCAAUGGGGGCAACCCUGACCGAGCAACGCCGCGUGAGUGAAGAAGGUUUUCGGAUCGUAAAGCUCUGUUGUAAGAGAAGAACGUGUGUGAGAGUGGAAAGUUCACACAGUGACGGUAACUUACCAGAAAGGGACGGCUAACUACGUGCCAGCAGCCGCGGUAAUACGUAGGUCCCGAGCGUUGUCCGGAUUUAUUGGGCGUAAAGCGAGCGCAGGCGGUUUAAUAAGUCUGAAGUUAAAGGCAGUGGCUUAACCAUUGUUCGCUUUGGAAACUGUUAGACUUGAGUGCAGAAGGGGAGAGUGGAAUUCCAUGUGUAGCGGUGAAAUGCGUAGAUAUAUGGAGGAACACCGGUGGCGAAAGCGGCUCUCUGGUCUGUAACUGACGCUGAGGCUCGAAAGCGUGGG